GUUCAUCUCUCAUCUUUUUAGAUUUUAAUGUCUUGUAGUAGUUGCUACGUUUCUUUCAUGAGGCAGAUUAGAAGUUAGUAUAUAUGAAUGAUUGGCCCAAGCUAUAAGUUAUACUCCUUACAUAAAUUGUCCAGCAUAAAAUUGAACAAUAGAACUAGUGAUUUUUGACCAAUUUUCCUAACAUCUUAUUACUAUGGUGAAGUUUAUGAUACUUUUUGGUUUGAUGGUUUUGUUAAAUAUUCAUGGUGGCAUAUAUAGUUGGAACAAUAUGUAGGAUCAUUUAAUACAAAUGACUUAUUUUUACUUCGAAGCCAAAGUUGAAAAUGGAGUAAAUUUCAAGCGACUAAUUAGUAGUAUAGUACAUGAAUCUACAGCAACUUUCAUAUUAUAAUAUGAAUGCAGUAACUUUGGUUAUUUCCAUCUUAUAUUGCAAGCGACUAAAUUAUGUUGCACGCAGAAGUUUUAAGAACUUUGUUGUUUUCAAUUUUGUCUUGCCAGUCUUUAUUGAUUAUUGAGAAGCCAUGUGUAGUAAUAUUGUUGAUAAAUUUAUUCUUUGACAAUUAAACCUUUCCUCCAAUGUGCAGGCUGAAGAAUAUGCAUACUAGAGUUAAGAACUUGGAUGGUUCUUUGUAAAAUCCUACUGAUUUUUUNNNNNNNNNNNNNNNNNNNNNNNNNNNNNNNNNNNNNNNNNNNNNNNNNNNNNNNNNNNNNNNNNNNNNNNUCUCCUGUUAUGUUCAGUUCACAAGUAAUUUCUUUUUAUAUUUGAUUGAACAAUUCUGCUAUGAGAUACUACUUGUGCUUACAAAAAAAAUUUGCUAUUUGAAAAGAGGUAUUAGAGUUAAUUGAUUGCAGCUUGUCUCUACCUUUUCGGUAGCUUUGUAAUCAUGUCUUAGGCUUUAUAGUUGUUUUGAUAGAGCUUAAUUUUGUUGUCAUUUGUGUGUUGCUCUAACUAUGGGGUUGUUAAUGAUUGAGUCACUUUGGCAUUGUAAUCAUGUGUUUGUAUGGUUUGAAGUGUUGCAUUGUAACUAUUUGGUAUACCUUAUCUCUCUUUCAUUAAUAAAUUAUUCUUUAGCUUUUAAAAAAGAAUUUGUUCUGUUAUGAGUUCAUUUAUUUGAUCUUCUUAGAAAAGAAAUGCAUUAUGUUAUGUUUUAAAAUACCAAUCUUGUGGAAUUAUACCAUGAACUAAGUCAAAUUGUACAACUUAGUUCUUUUUUUUAAGUAUUCUAAUAUAUACUUAUGUUUUUCCAGGUAACCGAAUAAGAAGAGUCAAGCGAUGAUAGGCGUUCUGAGUCUAGCUAACACUAAUUAAGGAUUAUGAAGCAACAUCACAUAUUUUGUGAACUUAUUUUGACGUAAUGUUAUGUUUAACCACUAGUAAUAUUUAUGUUUUAGUUUUUGAAUCUUUGAACUACAUUAGUUUCUUUCGUUUGAAACUUCAAGUACUUUAACUAAGUUUUUGAUGUAUGGAUCUUGUCACUAUUGAAUGAAUUAAAUAAAUGAGAUUCAGUAAUUUAUAUAUUAGUGCAUUUUUAUUUCUUUACUCCUUUAUGGAUGUAUGAAUAUUGUAAUUGUUCUUUAAUAAGCAAAGAAUAAAAAAUGUUUUAAAGGA
Molecule: long non-coding RNA, 1609 nt
Filed under: Trifolium pratense (red clover)
Lineage: Eukaryota; Viridiplantae; Streptophyta; Magnoliopsida; Fabales; Fabaceae
Description: long non-coding RNA (TPRA_LNC003882)
Source: RNAcentral